Molecule: ribosomal RNA, 338 nt
Filed under: uncultured Prevotella sp.
Lineage: Bacteria; Pseudomonadati; Bacteroidota; Bacteroidia; Bacteroidales; Prevotellaceae
Description: bacterial SSU rRNA
Rfam family: Bacterial small subunit ribosomal RNA
Source: RNAcentral
AGAGUUUGAUCAUGGCUCAGGAUGAACGCUAGCUACAGGCUUAACACAUGCAAGUCGAGGGGCAGCAUGAAGUUUGCUUGCAAACUUUGAUGGCGACCGGCGCACGGGUGAGUAACGCGUAUCCAACCUUCCCCUUAGUAGGGCAUAGCCCGGCGAAAGUCGGAUUAAUACCCUAUGUUCUUCGUAGAGGACAUCUGAAAUGAAGCAAAGGUUUACCGCUAAGGGAUGGGGAUGCGUCUGAUUAGGUAGUAGGCGGGGUAACGGCCCACCUAGCCUGCGAUCAGUAGGGGUUCUGAGAGGAAGGUCCCCCACAUUGGAACUGAGCCAGGAUCAAACUC